GCGGCCGUAACUAUAACGGUCCUAAGGUAGCGAAAUUCCUUGUCGGGUAAGUUCCGACCUGCACGAAUGGCGUAAUGAUGGCCAGGCUGUCUCCACCCGAGACUCAGUGAAAUUGAACUCGCUGUGAAGAUGCAGUGUACCCGCGGCAAGACGGAAAGACCCCGUGAACCUUUACUAUAGCUUGACACUGAACAUUGAGCCUUGAUGUGUAGGAUAGGUGGGAGGCUUUGAAGUGUGGACGCCAGUCUGCAUGGAGCCGACCUUGAAAUACCACCCUUUAAUGUUUGAUGUUCUAACGUGGACCCGUUACCCGGGUUGCGGACAGUGUCUGGUGGGUAGUUUGACUGGGGCGGUCUCCUCCUAAAGAGUAACGGAGGAGCACGAAGGUUGGCUAAUCCUGGUCGGACAUCAGGAGGUUAGUGCAAUGGCAUAAGCCAGCUUGACUGCGAGCGUGACGGCGCGAGCAGGUGCGAAAGCAGGUCAUAGUGAUCCGGUGGUUCUGAAUGGAAGGGCCAUCGCUCAACGGAUAAAAGGUACUCCGGGGAUAACAGGCUGAUACCGCCCAAGAGUUCAUAUCGACGGCGGUGUUUGGCACCUCGAUGUCGGCUCAUCACAUCCUGGGGCUGAAGUAGGUCCCAAGGGUAUGGCUGUUCGCCAUUUAAAGUGGUACGCGAGCUGGGUUUAGAACGUCGUGAGACAGUUCGGUCCCUAUCUGCCGUGGGCGCUGGAGAACUGAGGGGGGCUGCUCCUAGUACGAGAGGACCGGAGUGGACGCAUCACUGGUGUUCGGGUUGUCAUGCCAAUGGCACUGCCCGGUAGCUAAAUGCGGAAGAGAUAAGUGCUGAAAGCAUCUAAGCACGAAACUUGCCCCGA
This 873-nucleotide ribosomal RNA is filed under the name Salmonella enterica subsp. enterica serovar Paratyphi A. RNAcentral's name for it is "partial 23S ribosomal RNA". It matches the Rfam family "Bacterial large subunit ribosomal RNA", at positions 1930 to 2802 of the family's 2925-position model. Lineage: Bacteria; Pseudomonadati; Pseudomonadota; Gammaproteobacteria; Enterobacterales; Enterobacteriaceae. The record is from RNAcentral.